AGUUGAUCCUGGCUCAGUAUUGAACGCUGGCGGCAUGCCUUACACAUGCAAGUCGAACGGCAGCACGGGAGCUUGCUCCUGGUGGCGAGUGGCGAACGGGUGAGUAAUACAUCGGAACGUACCCUGAAGGUGGGGGAUAACGUAGCGAAAGUUACGCUAAUACCGCAUAUUCUGUGAGCAGGAAAGAGGGGGGAUCGCAAGACCUCUUGCUUUAGGAGCGGCCGAUGUCGGAUUAGCUAGUUGGUGAGGUAAAGGCUCACCAAGGCGACGAUCCGUAGCAGGUCUGAGAGGAUGAUCCGCCACACUGGGACUGAGACACGGCCCAGACUCCUACGGGAGGCAGCAGUGGGGAAUUUUGGACAAUGGGCGCAAGCCUGAUCCAGCCAUGCCGCGUGAGUGAAGAAGGCCUUCGGGUUGUAAAGCUCUUUCGGUGGGGAAGAAAUUGCUUCGGUUAAUACCUGGAGUAGAUGACGGUACCCGCAUAAGAAGCACCGGCUAACUACGUG
RNAcentral lists this ribosomal RNA (506 nucleotides) under uncultured bacterium. Its description in RNAcentral is "bacterial SSU rRNA". It matches the Rfam family "Bacterial small subunit ribosomal RNA", at positions 10 to 507 of the family's 1533-position model. The record is from RNAcentral.